RNAcentral lists this ribosomal RNA (496 nucleotides) under uncultured bacterium. RNAcentral's name for it is "partial 16S ribosomal RNA". It matches the Rfam family "Bacterial small subunit ribosomal RNA", at positions 29 to 507 of the family's 1533-position model. The record is from RNAcentral.
AUGAACGCUGGCGGCGUGCCUAAUACAUGCAAGUCGAGCGAACAGACGAGGAGCUUGCUCCUCUGACGUUAGCGGCGGACGGGUGAGUAACACGUGGAUAACCUACCUAUAAGACUGGGAUAACUUCGGGAAACCGGAGCUAAUACCGGAUAAUAUAUUGAACCGCAUGGUUCAAUAGUGAAAGACGGUUUUGCUGUCACUUAUAGAUGGAUCCGCGCCGCAUUAGCUAGUUGGUAAGGUAACGGCUUACCAAGGCGACGAUGCGUAGCCGACCUGAGAGGGUGAUCGGCCACACUGGAACUGAGACACGGUCCAGACUCCUACGGGAGGCAGCAGUAGGGAAUCUUCCGCAAUGGUCGAAAGCCUGACGGAGCAACGCCGCGUGAGUGAUGAAGGUCUUCGGAUCGUAAAACUCUGUUAUUAGGGAAGAACAAAUGUGUAAGUAACUAUGCACGUCUUGACGGUACCUAAUCAGAAAGCCACGGCUAACUACGUG